UCCCUCUCUUGUGCCUUGUCUAAAAUUGUACUCGCGGUUUGGCAUUUUCCCUGAUUGCUUUCACCUGUGCCUCAUUUGUGUGUCUGUGUGUUUUGUCAUGAUGUCUGUCUGACCUCACAGUGUGUCCUUUUUGCCUGUGGAAUCUUGGACUUUAUUUUGGCUGAUUCUUUCUUUUUGUUUCUCAGUCUGCAUUUGGGUUGUAAUUCUGCAAUGCCUGACACUUCAAGAAUGAAAAUGCAAUGCAGAUGUAAUGUAAUGUAGUAUAAGGAGGUAAAAAUAAGGAAUAAAACUGGGUUCUCUUUCAAAUGUACAGCAGGGAUGCCAAAAGAGUCAGACUCUAAGAUAGUUGAUAAAGAGCCCGUUUAUUUCCAGUCAGAGAAUGUCUAACCCCUUAAACCCACCAAAAUGUUAAUUCUACCAAAAUACUGAUUUAAAAGUGAAAACGCAGCAGAGGCUCACAGGUCUGCACUCUGCUGUGUAAUCUGGCUUUACAGGAGAAUUACACCUGUUCACAGCCUGAUACAACUAAAGCAGCAUGGUGCGAGAGGAGGAGAGGUCCUUCAAACACACCCGGCACACACCCACAAAAUCAGGAAUGUGGGGAAUGCUGGGAAACAAAGUGGUGGCGUUGGCGCACAGAGAGCAGCCGGAUGAAUGGAAACCUGAAGGAUAAAAUGCGACUGCGUCACUGGUCUGCGGCUCUGGGAGCAAAGCUGCCAAACAGACGUCCCAGUAUUCCCAGCAUCUGCUCCGGCACAACAUCAGCGAGCUGCUGAGGGAUAACCAAACUGUUUUCUUUAAAUGACAGUUUGAGGUCCAGACUGUUUUCCUUCAUGCGAGCAUGACAGUUUGACAGAUGUUACGUAACUGACAGCUGCUGGGAUUCACGCAGGCUGCAGAAGUCUGUGUCGAGAUUUUGAUUUUGUCCAUAUUGGAGGGAAAAAAAAAAAGCCAAAUCGCUGAAUAAACUCACCCAAAUUCUCUAAGACAGAUGUUGAAAAUUUUUUGCUGAACUUUAAAGUUUGCUGAUGAGAGUAAAACUGUUUUUCAGUUUUAAAGUCUUCACAGCAUCCAGGUCCGUGAGUAUCUAGUUGAACAAAACUGUUAGCUUAGCAUGGUCUGCUGUUUUCAGAGGCUCAGGAGUAAUCAGACAAUUCACUAAAGAGUCAUGGCCAGGUGAGGCCUGCUAACCCCUAACCCUUGUUAUGCGAAAUUAAGCAGGUAAGCAAAGCUGCAAAAACUGCAACUCUGUCUGAAGACACGAGACGCGAUUGAGUGGCGGCUCUGUCUGCGCUGCAGCUGAGAAUAAAGUCAGCCAACGUGAGUCUGAAAGGAUGAAACAGGUUCUAAUGAAAAUGUUCAGACUGUUUGUGGCAUCAACAUGAAAGCUGCGGACAAAUGUCAUACACGAAUCGCCAUCUGUGGAAGCUUCUUCUCCCCCGUUCAGCUGUCACUGCCGACAUUAAUCUGCCUUUGUUCUGUUAAUUCAUAACAAAUGAGCGGCAAAGCGCUCGGAGAGGCCUGGGAGGAGAAACACGGCGUCUGCAUGAAGAGGAACGAUUCAGUGCGUAUGUACGUUACAGACCCUUCAUUUGUCCAACUAUGGUUGGCGUUACAUCCUGUAAUGGCACGACUUAUAUUAACAUUAGAUUCAGCAGCCAUGACAGAAAUAAGUUCUCCAAACACAUGCCGACACUUCUCUGGAAUGUCUUUCAUUCGCUGCGUGUUUUUAUUCUGUUUUAAUUUAUUGUUAGUUUGAAGGAUGAUGUCUACAAGAAAAGGAGGAAAAUAUUGUUCAAUGUUUGUUUUCAGUUUGCUUAAAUAUUCAUUAAAGCUUCUUUCAUG
Molecule: long non-coding RNA, 1845 nt
Organism: Haplochromis burtoni (Burton's mouthbrooder)
Lineage: Eukaryota; Metazoa; Chordata; Actinopteri; Cichliformes; Cichlidae
Exons: 3
Source: RefSeq, a predicted model, not a curated record